AUUGAACGCUGGCGGCAGGCCUAACACAUGCAAGUCGAGCGGAUGAAGGGAGCUUGCUCCUGGAUUCAGCGGCGGACGGGUGAGUAAUGCCUAGGAAUCUGCCUGGUAGUGGGGGAUAACGUCCGGAAACGGGCGCUAAUACCGCAUACGUCCUGAGGGAGAAAGUGGGGGAUCUUCGGACCUCACGCUAUCAGAUGAGCCUAGGUCGGAUUAGCUAGUUGGUGGGGUAAAGGCCUACCAAGGCGACGAUCCGUAACUGGUCUGAGAGGAUGAUCAGUCACACUGGAACUGAGACACGGUCAAGACUCCUGAGGGAGGCAGCAGUGGGGAAUAUUGGACAGUGGGCGAAAGCCUGAUACAGCCAUGCCGCGUGUGUGAAGAAGGUCUUCGGAUUGUAAAGAACUUUAAGUUGGGAGGAAGGGCAGUAAGUUAAUACCUUGCUGUUUUGACGUUACCAACAGAAUAAGCACCGGCUAACUUCGUG
This 484-nucleotide ribosomal RNA is filed under the name uncultured bacterium. RNAcentral describes it as "partial 16S ribosomal RNA". It matches the Rfam family "Bacterial small subunit ribosomal RNA", at positions 30 to 507 of the family's 1533-position model. The record is from RNAcentral.